CUCGGUCGGCAGAGCGUUGGAUUGCAGAUCCAAAGGUCGCGAGCUCAAAUU
This 51-nucleotide transfer RNA is filed under the name Chattonella subsalsa. RNAcentral describes it as "partial tRNA". The record is from RNAcentral. Lineage: Eukaryota; Raphidophyceae; Chattonellales; Chattonellaceae.